Molecule: long non-coding RNA, 3206 nt
Filed under: Sparus aurata (gilthead seabream)
Lineage: Eukaryota; Metazoa; Chordata; Actinopteri; Spariformes; Sparidae
Description: lncRNA (ENSSAUG00010009395.1)
Rfam family: mir-133 microRNA precursor family (bases 2823-2894)
Source: RNAcentral
AUGCUGCUGUGGCUGGGUGUAUUGUUUUGUUCCUGUUGCAGAGGUGCGCUGGAGGCCGGGCUGAGUCGGCGGUCAGUGGAGGGAGUGUGCGCACACACACGCAUCUGCAGCAGGUUAAUCAUCAGCGCUGGCUUCAAGACCUGGGUCCACACGCUGCCUGCUGCCAGUGAUUACGUGAUCUUUACGCGCGCCCUCCUGUGCCGUCACCAACUCUGUCCCGGCGUCCAGGUCUCCCGCACCUCUGCUGCUCCUCGCCAGCCCAGCUCCCUGCCGAAGGACCCCAGUCAACGCAGCACCCCCGGCUCGUCUACUAGCCGCUGCCUCGCCUACGCUUCCCCGAAUCUACAGACCCGCUCCGGACCUCCGUGCACCUACAAGCCUGCCCCGGCGCCGCGCUCCUCGGCGCGCCUCUCCCCGGGAUUCAAGCCACCUCGCUCUUUCUGCUCCCUGCCAUUGUUCUGAAUAAACCAAUUACUCUGCACCAGCCCCGGUUGUCUGUCCGCUUCUGGGUCCCCCUCUCGUCUCAGAGUUAACAAACUGCCUUGAAAAUGACUGAACAAUGCCAUCUAUAGGCAGUAUGCCAUGUCUAAGGUGGACCGGAAAAUUCCAAUGAGAAGCUGUGAAUCUGGUGCUAACUUAGCCUGUUGGAGUGUGGUGGAAAUCUCGAAAUGAGUUUCUUUAUGAAUGAGAUACAAAAAUCGUAAAAUAAAUAGCACCUUUGAUUAUUUUUUGUUUUUUUUGUUUUACCCAGAAGUUAUUUGCUACAGCUGCCUUUCCCUGCAACAGCACUGUCUCUGGGCUCCCUGCUCCAUCCAGCCUGUUCACUGUGGUGGUGGGGCAACUUGUUCAUUAUCUACUGCAUCAGCGGUAAGAAGAGUAGGAGAGAAGUCACAGGCAAAAGGUUGAUAAAAGGAGCCCUCCAUCCUCUAAACAUGGAAUAUCAGCCAGUGCGGAUGAACGUGGUCAAACAUCAAUACAGUGUGAAUGUUGUCUUUAUACACACACACACACACACACACACACACACACAGGGCUAUAGUAGGUUGCACUCACCCACAUCCUUUUAUGAUCCCUGUAAUCUCCGUUUCAAUUUCAAUAUUAAAAUGUCUUCCAUUGUUUUAUGUGACUUGGCACAUUACUCCUUAAUCUUCAGUGUCAGUGGGGCGAUGAAUAAACUGAUGCACAGUAAAGGGCAUGAUAUGUGUUAUCAUUUGCAUAUCAUAUGGCCUGCUCAUGUCCUACAUUAAUAUACUAAUUGUACAUAUCAGUUAUGUACAAAAUAAACAGCAAGGGUUAUCAAGUUACCUUCAAUAAUUUUGAAAUAUUAUUUAUUGAAUAUGCUGAAAGUUAUUUGAAAUGUCUAACUAGUAAACUAUGGUCGUAUAUGAAAUGCUAAUUAGAUCAACAGUACCCCCAAUAUAUAUUCACUAGAUUUAUAGCAGAUGAUUUGUAUAGCCUUCUAUUAUCCUAAAUAGUUUUUACAGAAUUUAAUAGAAGGUGAAUCCUUUAUUUCAGAAGCACUGAAGAGCAUUGUCAGUGUGUUUCUGUGAUGCACCACUGGUUCACAAGUUGAGGUAUGAUGCCUCGAUGGAUCAGUUCUGCCCUUUUCUUGUUUUUCCUUCUCUUUACUUGCUUUGAAACGUUGAGAAGGUGUGAUGCUACUGACUGCUAAUAAAGUCACAGACUUUACUGGUUGUAAACACACCAAGUUUUAAUAACAAAUUAUGUCUGUUUAUUUGCAAGUUUAUUUGUAACAUGCACUUUCUCCAUGUCUGCAGCAGCAGCACUCCUGGUCUUCACAAGCACUAUUUCAUUCUGGUGUAAUUGAUUAGACACCACUCCCCUCCUAAAUGUAGUCUCUUGUUCAUCACACUCGGGACAUGAAGAACAGAAAAUGACCACAACUACCAUUUACAGCAGUGUAUCUCCUCUUUAUCAUGUCCACCUUCUACUUACACUCCCUCAGCCUCAAAAUGCCUACUCUCCCAUUCUUUAGCAUAGUACUUCUCUCCAUUCAGCCAUGGCCUUCCAUCUAUCACAGCAGACCAAGGCAAAUGGAGCUUUCAGCUGAGUAGUGAUAAGGAAUCACAGCCACGUUAAAGCAUCUGUCAUGCCUCCAGAUCUGUGCAUAGCGGGCGAUACAGUGACUGGGCAGAAGGCAGAAGAAAACAGGAUGAAGGAUUGAAAAAAGGGAGAGGGUGAGAGGAGCAUGAGAAAGAUGGGGUCCCCUGUCUCCCUGUGGGAACAGAUAGAUCAGUGUGAGAGUGCCCACAUUUCUGCUUCAUCUCAAUUUUAAUGUAUUCAAAUGACCAUUUUUCCUUCACUUACAUUUUUCUCAGUCCCUAUUUUCACCCUGAUAUUCCAGCCCUUAAAUCUCUAAGUCAAAAUUGACACAUUUAAUGUAUUAGCCUAAUUGAAUACCUAAGUAGAAAACCACCCCAAAACAAGGUAAUGUUUUGUGUUAUAGUAUUUUUCAUAAAUUACUGUUGGGUUUACCUGAACUAAAAUAUGUUCACUUUCAUACCAAGACAUAUGUGCAAAUUUCGAGGUAAAAACUAAAAAAAAAAGGAAAGGCCACUUCACCAAUUUAUGUGUGCUUCAGGACGGGGCUUUAUUGAUCAGACAUGCAUCGGGAAUCCAAGACACACAUACAUAUAUGUGCACAAACACAUACACUACUACUUUUCUAACUCAGUGUCUGAUCUUACAUUCCAUAAUGUUUUCACACGCACACGCACGCACGCACACACACACACACACACACACACACACACACACACACACACACACACAAUAUUGUGUGUGUUGGAGUGAUCAAUGCACAGCUACAGCUGGUUGAAAGGGACCAAAUCCAUUGUACAGUUGAUUUGGUUCCAUUUUACCAGCUUUAGCAAAGCAUUUCAGAGGUGAGUCCGGUCCGACAGGUGACAGUGUGGAGAAAGAGGAGGAGGAAGAAGUGAACAGACAGGGACCUGAAAGACAUAGAGUGAGAAGAACAGAAUGAUAAGAAUAUACGUACAUAUAUACAUAUACGAUGAAAUAAACACUCAUUGUACAGACGUGAACAAAACAAAGACAAACAUAUAAGGGAAAUAUCACUGAUUAGGAGGGGCCAUUGCUCUUACAUUUGAUGCACUAUGAUGCACUAUAACUGCGUUUACAGCUUGUUUCUGCUGUCCGCAAAUGUCUUAAAAAGUUAAUGCUGA